AUUGAACGCUGGCGGCAUGCCUUACACAUGCAAGUCGAACGGCAGCGCGGGAGCAAUCCUGGCGGCGAGUGGCGAACGGGUGAGUAAUACAUCGGAACGUGCCCAAUCGUGGGGGAUAACGCAGCGAAAGCUGUGCUAAUACCGCAUACGAUCUACGGAUGAAAGCAGGGGAUCGCAAGACCUUGCGCGACUGUAGCGGCCGAUGGCAGAUUAGGUAUUUGGUGAGGUAAAGGCUCACCAAGCCUUCGAUCUGUAGCUGGUCUGAGAGGACGACCAGCCACACUGGGACUGAGACACGGCCCAGACUCCUACGGGAGGCAGCAGUGGGGAAUUUUGGACAAUGGGCGAAAGCCUGAUCCAGCCAUGCCGCGUGCAGGAUGAAGGCCUUCGGGUUGUAAACUGCUUUUGUACGGAACGAAACGGUCUUUUCUAAUAAAGAAGGCUAAUGACGGUACCGUAAGAAUAAGCACCGGCUAACUACGUG
RNAcentral lists this ribosomal RNA (484 nucleotides) under uncultured bacterium. RNAcentral describes it as "partial 16S ribosomal RNA". It matches the Rfam family "Bacterial small subunit ribosomal RNA", at positions 30 to 507 of the family's 1533-position model. The record is from RNAcentral.